Molecule: ribosomal RNA, 406 nt
Filed under: Daphnia laevis group sp. 2 Argentina
Lineage: Eukaryota; Metazoa; Arthropoda; Branchiopoda; Diplostraca; Daphniidae
Description: partial small subunit ribosomal RNA
Source: RNAcentral
GUGAAAUUUAUAUAAAAUGUUAAUAUUUCUAUAAUAAUUUGUUGGAAUUAAAAAAUUUAGGACAAAGACCAGGAUUAGAUACCCUGUUAUUCUAAAUAAUGAAUAAAAAUGGGGUAGUAAAAGUUGUUCUUCAAACCCAAAGAUUUUGGCGGCAUUUUAACCAAAUAGAGGAGCUUGCCCCAUAAUCGAUAGACCUCGUUUUAUCUUGCCUUUAAUUGUGUAGCUUGUAUACCGCCGUUGUCAGAUUACUCUAGAAGGAUGUUUUCAAGAAAAAUAGUUUUUUAACUUCAGGUCAAGGUGCAGUUUAUGUAGAGGUGGAGGUGAGCUACAAUUUUUUUAAAAAGUACGGAUGUUUAAUUUAAAAAUUAAUUGAAGGUGGAUUUAUUAGUAAGUUAGUUUAAGUAAA